CAGCCGCCGCGGUAAUACCGGCGGCCCGAGUGGCGGUCACUAUUAUUGGGCUUAAAGCGUCCGUAGCCGGGUUGGGAAGUCCUCCGGGAAAUCUGGCCGCUUAACGGUCAGAAUGCCGGAGGAUACUCCCAGCCUAGGGAGCGGGAGAGGCCGAGGGUAUUCCCGGAGUAGGGGUGAAAUCCUAUAAUCCCGGGAGGACCACCUGUGGCGAAGGCGCUCGGCUGGAACGCGUCCGACGGUGAGGGACGAAGGCCAGGGGAGCAAACCGGAUUAGAUACCCGGGUAGUCCUGGCUGUAAACGAUGCGGACUUUGUGUCGGACAAGCUAUGAGCUGGUCCGGUGCCGGAGGGAAACCGUUAAGUCCGCCGCCUGGGGAGUACGGCCGCAAGGCUGAAACUUAAAGGAAUUGGCGGG
RNAcentral lists this ribosomal RNA (414 nucleotides) under uncultured microorganism. RNAcentral describes it as "bacterial SSU rRNA". It matches the Rfam family "Archaeal small subunit ribosomal RNA", at positions 459 to 872 of the family's 1478-position model. The record is from RNAcentral.